Molecule: ribosomal RNA, 253 nt
Filed under: uncultured prokaryote
Description: partial 16S ribosomal RNA
Rfam family: Bacterial small subunit ribosomal RNA
Source: RNAcentral
UACGGAGGGUGCUAGCGUUAUCCGGAUUUACUGGGUUUAAAGGGUGCGUAGGCGGAUUUUUAAGUCAGCGGUGAAAUCUCCGGGCUCAACUCGGAAAUUGCCUUUGAUACUAUUAAUCUUGAAUACAGUUGAGGUGGGCGGAAUGUGUGGUGUAGCGGUGAAAUGCUUAGAUAUCACACAGAACACCGAUUGCGAAGGCAGCUCGCUAAACUGUUAUUGACGCUGAGGCACGAAAGCGUGGGGAUCAAACAGG